RNAcentral lists this ribosomal RNA (484 nucleotides) under uncultured bacterium. Its description in RNAcentral is "partial 16S ribosomal RNA". It matches the Rfam family "Bacterial small subunit ribosomal RNA", at positions 30 to 507 of the family's 1533-position model. The record is from RNAcentral.
AUUGAACGCUGGCGGCAGGCCUAACACAUGCAAGUCGAGCGGAUGAAGGGAGCUUGCUCCUGGAUUCAGCGGCGGACGGGUGAGUAAUGCCUAGGAAUCUGCCUGGUAGUGGGGGAUAACGUCCGGAAACGGGCGCUAAUACCGCAUACGUCCUGAGGGAGAAAGUGGGGGAUCUUCGGACCUCACGCUAUCAGAUGAGCCUAGGUCGGAUUAGCUAGUUGGUGGGGUAAAGGCCUACCAAGGCGACGAUCCGUAACUGGUCUAAGAGGAUGAUCAGUCACACUGGAACUGAGACACGGUCCAGACUCCUACGGGAGGCAGCAGUGGGGAAUAUUGGACAAAGGGCGAAAGCCUGAUCCAGCCAUGCCGCGUGUGUGAAGAAGGUCUUCGGAUUGUAAAGCACUUUAAGUUGGGAGGAAGGGCAGUAAGUUAAUACCUUGCUGUUUUGACGUUACCAACAGAAUAAGCACCGGCUAACUUCGUG